Molecule: unclassified non-coding RNA, 257 nt
Organism: Callithrix jacchus (white-tufted-ear marmoset)
Lineage: Eukaryota; Metazoa; Chordata; Mammalia; Primates; Cebidae
Rfam family: Metazoan signal recognition particle RNA
About the family: The signal recognition particle (SRP) is a universally conserved ribonucleoprotein. It is involved in the co-translational targeting of proteins to membranes.
Source: Ensembl
GCCGAGCAUGGUGGCAUGUGCCUGUAGUCCCAGCUAUUCCUGCUUGAGCCCAGGAGUUCUGGGCUGUAGUGCGCUAUGCUGAUCAGGUGACCACACUAAGUUCAGCAUCAGUAUGGUGACCUCCCGGUAUCAGGGGACCACCAGGUUGCCUAAGGAGGGGUGAAACGGAGCAGGUCAAAACUCCUGUGCUGAUCAGUAGUAGGAUCGUGCCUGUGAACAGCCACUGCACUCCAGCCUGGGCAAUAUAGCUAGACCCU